RNAcentral lists this ribosomal RNA (441 nucleotides) under uncultured archaeon. Its description in RNAcentral is "bacterial SSU rRNA". It matches the Rfam family "Archaeal small subunit ribosomal RNA", at positions 43 to 491 of the family's 1478-position model. The record is from RNAcentral.
ACUAAGCCAUGCGAGUCGACACAGCAAUGUGUGGCAUACGGCUCAGUAACACGUAGUCAACAUGCCCAGGGGACGUGGAUAACCUCGGGAAACUGAGGAUAAACCGCGAUAGGUCACUACUUCUGGAAUGGGUAAUGACCCAAACCUAUAUGGCCCCUGGAUUGGACUGCGGCCGAUCAGGCUGUUGGUGAGGUAAUGGCCCACCAAACCUGUAACCGGUACGGGCUCUGGGAGGAGGAGCCCGGAGAUGGGCACUGAGACAAGGGCCCAGGCCCUAUGGGGCGCAGCAGGCGCGAAACCUCUGCAAUAGGCGAAAGCUUGACAGGGUUACUCUGAGUGAUUUCCGUUAAGGAGAUCUUUUGGCACCUCUAAAAAUGGUGCAGAAUAAGGGGUGGGCAAGUCUGGUGUCAGCCGCCGCGGUAAUACCAGCACCCCGAGUGG